UACGAAGGGGGCUAGCGUUGCUCGGAAUUACUGGGCGUAAAGCGCACGUAGGCGGCUCUUUAAGUCGGAGGUGAAAUCCUGGAGCUCAACUCCAGAACUGCCUUCGAUACUGUAGAGCUUGAGUUCGGGAGAGGUGAGUGGAACUGCGAGUGUAGAGGUGAAAUUCGUAGAUAUCUGGAGGAAUACCGGUGGCGAAGGCGGCAUCCUGGACCGGCAUUGACGCUGAGUGAGCGAAAGCCAGGGGAGCAAACGGG
RNAcentral lists this ribosomal RNA (254 nucleotides) under uncultured bacterium. Its description in RNAcentral is "partial 16S ribosomal RNA". It matches the Rfam family "Bacterial small subunit ribosomal RNA", at positions 524 to 776 of the family's 1533-position model. The record is from RNAcentral.